Molecule: ribosomal RNA, 433 nt
Filed under: uncultured bacterium
Lineage: Bacteria
Description: partial 16S ribosomal RNA
Rfam family: Bacterial small subunit ribosomal RNA
Source: RNAcentral
AACGAACGCUGGCGGCAUGCCUAACACAUGCAAGUCGAACGAGACCUUCGGGUCUAGUGGCGCACGGGUGCGUAACGCGUGGGAACCUGCCCUUAGGUUCGGAAUAACUUCACGAAAGGGGUGCUAAUACCGGAUACUGUCUUCGGACUAAAGAUUUAUCGCCUUUGGAUGGGCCCGCGUUGGAUUAGCUAGUUGGUAGGGUAAAAGCCUACCAAGGCGACGAUCCAUAGCUGGUCUGAGAGGAUGAUCAGCCACACUGGGACUGAGACACGGCCCAGACUCCUACGGGAGGCAGCAAGGGGGAAUAUUGGACGAUGGGCGAGAGCCUGAUCCAGCAAUGCCGCGUGAGUGAUGAAGGCCUUAGGGUUGUAAAGCUCUUUUACCCGGGAUGAUAAUGACAGUACCGGGAGAAUAAGCCCCGGCUAACUCCGUG